ACAGUGCAUUGCGCUCGCUGCCCCGCCCACCUGUUUCCGUUUAAAAGGGGGAAGGACCCAUGCGAGCAAACAAACUUUAUUCACAAAGUUAUUCACGAACCGUCGUUGACUAGUUUUGACUCGUUUUUCCAAAAGCAAUCAUGCCCAGUGGUUGUUUGGUACCCGGUUGCACCGAAAAGUCGAGGUUGGGACAGAGUGUAAGUUUUCACGGUUUGCCAGUGAAAGACGCUCAGCGUUGCAAACUAUGGCUGCGGGCGAUAAACAACCCCAGAGUUGGAGAAGACACCGGGAAGGAAAUUAUAAAAGGAAAAACGAUAUGCAGUCUCCAUUUCAAACUGGAGGAUUUUGAUGGAAGACUUUUCGGCAAGAUUAGGUCCGCACUCAAACCAACUGCUGUUCCGUGCGUCUUCGCUGUGGGCCCGUGCCCAGAUGACGAACAGGCCGGGGCUUCUAAUGCACCUCCCGCAGCGAAACGCAGUCGCCUACAGAACGCUGAUAGUGGUCAUGGCGCAUUGACUCUCUCUGCAUCCUCCAACCCGCUGAAGACCUUCCCUUUGACAUCCACACCAGUGAAAACCUUUCCCUCGGACCAAGGACUAUCGGCCCGCUGGAGAUCUUUCACAGUGCAAUGCUCAAGUACCUCCCAAAAAGGCAGGGAUUCUCUUUCCAGGGAAUGAGAGAAAGGGUUCAUCUUGCAUGUUUUGAGCACAAUGAAAACAUUGUCAAAAGAAAGCAGGCCACAACCAAGACAGGACAACCACGCUUCAACCAAGUGUUUUGCAGGAGAUCCAAGCAGUGGGUCGUGAAGCAGAUUUUUAUUCCACACACCACCCAGUUCAUUGACACACUUGUCACAAGUGUCAUAACCAGAAGACGAAACCCAACGAUUCUAUAUAAGGUUUCAACAUCCUCACUUGCCCUGCCCCAGCCUGCGCUGCCACCUAACAUUGCACCAGUGCCAAAACCACCAAAGGAGGCGGCAGUGGCUGAAUUAAAAAGGCGCUUCUGAGAGGGACAUCUGACCUAUUUUAUCUAUUUAAACGUAUCUUUAAUAAAACAUUUGUUU
Long non-coding RNA from Gadus morhua (Atlantic cod), 1066 nucleotides. RefSeq lists it as uncharacterized. The transcript has 4 exons. The record is from RefSeq and is a predicted model, not a curated record. NCBI's taxonomy places the organism in Eukaryota, Metazoa, Chordata, Actinopteri, Gadiformes, Gadidae.